UCACCCCUCAAGCCCUCGGCUUGGUGUUGGACGGUUUGGUGGAGGCCCCUUGCGGGUUCCUACCCCUCCCAAAGACAAUGACGGCGGCCUCGUUGGACCCCCGGUACACUGAGUUCUUCACGGGACACGUAUCGGACACAUGGGUUUACGGGACACGGUCUGCCUCCCCUCAGGGAGAAUCUUUCUUAA
This 189-nucleotide unclassified non-coding RNA is filed under the name uncultured Exophiala. RNAcentral describes it as "sequence contains ITS2". Lineage: Eukaryota; Fungi; Ascomycota; Eurotiomycetes; Chaetothyriales; Herpotrichiellaceae. The record is from RNAcentral.